CAAUAGCGUAUAUUAAAGUUGUUGCAGUUAAAAAGCUCGUAGUCGGAUUUCUGGUGGGAGCGAUCGGUCUGGCGCUUAGCGCGAGUACUUGCAUCGUCUCCGGCCAUCCUUGGGGAAAGUCUGUCUGGCAUUAAGUUGUCGGGCAGAGGAUCCUCAUCGUUUACUGUGAAAAAAUUAGAGUGUUCAAAGCAGGCUUAUGCCGUUGAAUAUAUUAGCAUGGAAUAAUAAGAUAGGACUUUGGUACUAUUUUGUUGGUUUGCGCACCAAAGUAAUGAUUAAUAGGGACAGUUGGGGGUAUUCGUAUUCCGUUGUCAGAGGUGAAAUUCUUGGAUUUACGGAAGACGAACUACUGCGAAAGCAUUUACCAAGGAUGUUUUCAUUAA
Molecule: ribosomal RNA, 383 nt
Filed under: uncultured eukaryote
Lineage: Eukaryota
Description: partial 18S ribosomal RNA
Rfam family: Eukaryotic small subunit ribosomal RNA
Source: RNAcentral